This 2142-nucleotide long non-coding RNA is filed under the name Pan troglodytes (chimpanzee). RNAcentral's name for it is "long non-coding RNA NONPTRT008345". The record is from RNAcentral. Lineage: Eukaryota; Metazoa; Chordata; Mammalia; Primates; Hominidae.
CCUCGGUUUCUUUUCUUUCUUUCUUUCUUUUUUUUUUUGAGACGGAGUCUCGCUCUGUUGCCCAGGCUGGAGUGCAAUGGCGUGAUCUUGGCUCACUGCAACCUCUACCUCCCGGGUUCACGCGAUUCUCCUGCUUGAUUACAGGUGCGUGCCACCACGCCCAGCUAAUUUUUGUAUUUUUAGUAGAGACGGGGUUUCACCAUGUUGGUCAGGCUGGUCUCGAACUCCUGACCUCGUAAUCCAUCUGCCUCGGCCUCCCAAAGUGCUGGGAUUACAGAUGUGAGCCACCGCGCCCAGCCGAGCCUCAGUUUCUGAUUUUAAAAAUCCCCCAAACCCGGGAGCCGUCCACCAGCAGAGGUUGUACAGCUAUUUAUCACGAAUGUGUGUGUAUUUCAUACAGGAAGUGAAAUGUAUUAAAUACACAGGGCUGAAACUUGCAGUCUGAGAGGCAGGAACCUUCUGAUCCCACCGGAAAUUUCUCUCCACUCAUCCCCAGACUCUCUCAGUGGAAACCAUCCUCCUGAAGCAUGUGUGCACGCACAACACACAUGCACUCUCACACACACUCUUCACAGCCACCCCACUCCCUCACGCAUGUACACACAUUCACACCCACCCCACUCACAUACAAACUCUCACACAUACACAUGCAAACACUUGGAUACACACACCCAUGCCUAUUCUCACACACACACUCAUACACCUAUACACACAUGCACACACUCGACACACACCCUCAUGCCUAUUCACACACACCUAUACACACACACUUGACACACACCCAUGCCUAUUCUCACACACACUCACAUACCUAUACACACAUGCACACACUCGACACACCCAUGCCUAUUCUCUCACACACACUCUCGACACACCCAUGCCUAUUCUCACACACACACCUAUACACACACAUGCACACACUCAACACACCCAUGCCUAUUCUCACUCACACACCUAUAUACACACAUGCACACUCAACACACCCAUGCCUAUUCUCACACACACAUGCACACAUGACACACACACCCAUGCCUAUUCUCACACACACCUAUACACACAUGCACACACUCGACACACACACCCAUGCCUAAUUCUCACACACACCCCUAUACACACACAUGCACAUACUCAACACACACACCCAUGCCUAUUCGCUCACACACCUAUACACACACAUGCACAUGACACACACCCAUGCCUAUUCUCACACACACACACCUAUACACACACAUGCACAUACUCGACACACAGCCAUGCCUAUUCUCUCACACACACGCUCACACACCUAUACACACAUGCACACACUCAACACACACGUGCUCAUCCAUAGUCACACGUUUACACAUAUGCACACAUUCGGAUACACGCACACCCGGUACCUUCACACACACAUGCACACACUCAAUACACACAUACCCAUGCACAUUCACACAUACACAUGGACACACUCAGAUACACACACACCUAUAUACCUUCACACACACAUGCACACACUCGAUAUACACAUGCUUAUGCAUAUUUGUGCGUGCACACACUCAUAUACACACACACCCAGUACCUUCACACACACGCACACAAUACACACAUACUCGUGCACAUCCACACACUUGAUACACAAUUUGCACACACAUCCAUGCACACACUUGAUACAUAAACACCCACACACAUUCACACAUUUUCACACAUGCACACACUUGAUACACACCCAUGCACAUUCACACACAGUUGAUACAUGCACACACACAAUUCACACACAUACACACACUUGAUACACCCCAAUUCACACAGACAUGCACACACUUGAUACACACACUUUCACACAUCCCCACACACAUGCACACACUUGAUACACACCCAUGCACAUUCACACACAGUUGAUACAUGCACACACACAAUUCACACACAUACACACACUUGAUACACCCCAAUUCACACAGACAUACACACACUUGAUACACCCCAAUUCACACAGACAUGCACACACUUGAUACACACACUUUCACACAUCCCCACACACAUGCACACACUUGAUACACACAUUCACAUUCUCAGACAUGCACACACAUGCACACACUUGAUACACACACUCACACAUUCUCACAGACAUGCACACACAUGCACGCACUUGAUACACACAUUCAC